GUGUGGCUCAGUGAUAGAGCAUUUACCUGGAAUGAAUGAGGCCUGAGUUAGAUUCCCAGCAC
RNAcentral lists this transfer RNA (62 nucleotides) under Ictidomys tridecemlineatus (thirteen-lined ground squirrel). RNAcentral's name for it is "Spermophilus tridecemlineatus (thirteen-lined ground squirrel) tRNA". It matches the Rfam family "tRNA", at positions 5 to 66 of the family's 71-position model. From Rfam's summary of the family: Transfer RNA (tRNA) molecules are approximately 80 nucleotides in length. The record is from Rfam by way of RNAcentral. Lineage: Eukaryota; Metazoa; Chordata; Mammalia; Rodentia; Sciuridae.